UACGUAGGGUGCAAGCGUUAAUCGGAAUUACUGGGCGUAAAGCGUGCGCAGGCGGUUAUGUAAGACAGGUGUGAAAUCCUCGGGCUUAACCUGGGAACUGCAUUUGUGACUGCAUAGCUAGAGUACGGUAGAGGGGGAUGGAAUUCCGCGUGUAGCAGUGAAAUGCGUAGAUAUGCGGAGGAACACCGAUGGCGAAGGCAAUCCCCUGGACCUGUACUGACGCUCAUGCACGAAAGCGUGGGGAGCAAACAGG
This 253-nucleotide ribosomal RNA is filed under the name uncultured bacterium. Its description in RNAcentral is "partial 16S ribosomal RNA". It matches the Rfam family "Bacterial small subunit ribosomal RNA", at positions 524 to 776 of the family's 1533-position model. The record is from RNAcentral.